GGGAGCGGAGGCUGCGCGGCGGAGAGUAGAGAGCUAGAGGGUGAGAAGCGCUGGGCCGGACCAGAACUGUCUUCGCUUUUCCCUCUGCGGCUGCUCUGGUUGGUUACUUUGAGCCUUCCUCCUCAGCGCCGCAGGAGAGACUUAACAGCAAAAAUGACUGUGUCCUGAGUUCAGCCCCCACUGCUCUGGGAGCUUCCCCCUGGUUUCUGCACCUGAAGAAUGUCAUCCCAGCCGAAGGUUCUUAGGAGCGGGGAGCGACAAAGAAAAACAAAGAAAAGCAGACCUGAAAAUUGGGACCUGGGAGAAAUGUAAGACAUGUGCUUAAUUUGAGGCACAGACCAAAAGAAGCUGAGUCUGAGGGCCCUCUAAAAGUGUCCUCGUGCUUGGGCAGCUUACAUUCUUGGCGGCAGUAGUGUUAUGAAGAGGACCUUCGUAGCCAGAGACGAGUGCUCUAAACCAGUAUCAUGGCUCCAGUUCCUCUGACAAGGAUUCACAUGGG
This 499-nucleotide non-coding RNA is filed under the name Pan troglodytes (chimpanzee). Lineage: Eukaryota; Metazoa; Chordata; Mammalia; Primates; Hominidae. The record is from RNAcentral.